CUGGAACAUCUGAUUACUUUAAGCAUCCCUCUGCUAAUGUACAAUUAUAGGUUCCUUCUUGAAGUCCCUGCUAAAUACACAUGUCCAUAGAAUGACUCACUGUUUGACCCUUGGCUGUCCCGUACCUGCUGGAUGGCAGUGGACCGAAGGCUGCAGAGGCUCGUUAGAGGUUGCUGAUAUCACCCAGGAGUUUCCUGUUUCACCUGCCUGCUAUCCGAUCCCGCUGAAUGCUUCUUGCCUGCCCCAGCCAUGUCUGAAGCUGGAGGGUCUCUGGAGGAUGUCAGCUUGGGCUGUCCCUGCAGCCCUCCCACCCCAGAGCACUUCCAAAGGGAUGUGAAGGUGGAGUCAUCUAGCUCAGCAGCAGCCUGGAGCCCGCAGCAGCACUGGGCACAAAGCAUGGCACCCAUACCUCAGGUGAGAGCAGGGAUGUCUUCACACAGCACAAGUGGUGCAAAACCAUCAGAAGGAGCCUUUGCAGCUUGGGGGUAAAGGCUGGAAAAAAAUCACUCCUCUCUAAACAGAGCUCCAGGGACUUG
This 536-nucleotide long non-coding RNA is filed under the name Crocodylus porosus (Australian saltwater crocodile). RNAcentral describes it as "lncRNA (ENSCPRG00005003435.1)". Lineage: Eukaryota; Metazoa; Chordata; Crocodylia; Crocodylidae. The record is from RNAcentral.